This 86-nucleotide transfer RNA is filed under the name Chryseobacterium sp. RNAcentral's name for it is "tRNA-Leu". It matches the Rfam family "tRNA". Rfam says of the family: Transfer RNA (tRNA) molecules are approximately 80 nucleotides in length. Their secondary structure includes four short double-helical elements and three loops (D, anti-codon, and T loops). Further hydrogen bonds mediate the characteristic L-shaped molecular structure. tRNAs have two regions of fundamental functional importance: the anti-codon, which is responsible for specific mRNA codon recognition, and the 3' end, to which the tRNAs corresponding amino acid is attached (by aminoacyl-tRNA synthetases). tRNAs cope with the degeneracy of the genetic code in two manners: having more than one tRNA (with a specific anti-codon) for a particular amino acid; and 'wobble' base-pairing, i.e. permitting non-standard base-pairing at the 3rd anti-codon position. The record is from RNAcentral. Lineage: Bacteria; Pseudomonadati; Bacteroidota; Flavobacteriia; Flavobacteriales; Weeksellaceae.
GCCUGUGUGGUGAAAUUGGUAGACACGCCAUCUUGAGGGGGUGGUUUCCUAAGGAUGUGCUGGUUCGAGUCCAGUCGUAGGCACGA